Molecule: transfer RNA, 67 nt
Filed under: Nuchequula decora (decorated ponyfish)
Lineage: Eukaryota; Metazoa; Chordata; Actinopteri; Chaetodontiformes; Leiognathidae
Also listed under: 1 other name
Description: tRNA-Ser
Source: RNAcentral
GAGAGAGGCUCGCAGCAAUGAAAACUGCUAAUUUUCAUGACCCAAGUUGAACCCUUGGGCUCACUCG